UACAGAGGUCCCAAGCGUUGUUCGGAUUCAUUGGGCGUAAAGGGUGCGUAGGCGGCGCGGUAAGUCGGGUGUGAAAUCUCGGAGCUUAACUCCGAAACUGCAUUCGAUACUGCCGUGCUUGAGGACUGGAGAGGAGACUGGAAUUUACGGUGUAGCGGUGAAAUGCGUAGAUAUCGUAAGGAAGACCAGUGGCGAAGGCGGGUCUCUGGACAGUUCCUGACGCUGAGGCGCGAAAGCGUGGGGAGCAAACGGG
Molecule: ribosomal RNA, 253 nt
Filed under: uncultured bacterium
Lineage: Bacteria
Description: partial 16S ribosomal RNA
Rfam family: Bacterial small subunit ribosomal RNA
Source: RNAcentral